Molecule: ribosomal RNA, 515 nt
Filed under: Escherichia coli
Lineage: Bacteria; Pseudomonadati; Pseudomonadota; Gammaproteobacteria; Enterobacterales; Enterobacteriaceae
Description: bacterial SSU rRNA
Rfam family: Bacterial small subunit ribosomal RNA
Source: RNAcentral
UUAAAUUGAAGAGUUUGAUCAUGGCUCAGAUUGAACGCUGGCGGCAGGCCUAACACAUGCAAGUCGAACGGUAACAGGAAGCAGCUUGCUGCUUCGCUGACGAGUGGCGGACGGGUGAGUAAUGUCUGGGAAACUGCCUGAUGGAGGGGGAUAACUACUGGAAACGGUAGCUAAUACCGCAUAAUGUCGCAAGACCAAAGAGGGGGACCCUCGGGCCUCUUGCCAUCGGAUGUGCCCAGAUGGGAUUAGCUUGUUGGUGGGGUAACGGCUCACCAAGGCGACGAUCCCUAGCUGGUCUGAGAGGAUGACCAGCCACACUGGAACUGAGACACGGUCCAGACUCCUACGGGAGGCAGCAGUGGGGAAUAUUGCACAAUGGGCGCAAGCCUGAUGCAGCCAUGCCGCGUGUAUGAAGAAGGCCUUCGGGUUGUAAAGUACUUUCAGCGGGGAGGAAGGGAGUAAAGUUAAUACCUUUGCUCAUUGACGUUACCCGCAGAAGAAGCACCGGCUAACUC